CUUGGAAAGGACGUAUUCAGAAGCAGCUUAUGGUCCUUUUUCCUUCCUCAUAUGUAAGAAGAUGGCCUGAAUGGUUUCCACUUCCCUGGAACCUAGCUGCUCAGAGUCGCAGGUGCGUGGGCACUGUGUGUCCCAGGCACAUCAGGUUGCUACAGGUCCUGGGUGCUGCCUAUAGCUGGCGUGUCUCCUUUGUGCUCAUCCUGACCACAGAAAACAAAGAACACACAACUGACCCUUCCCAAAGCCAGUCCUUCCAUCAAAAAUGAAUAUACAUUCUGAUACCAG
RNAcentral lists this long non-coding RNA (285 nucleotides) under Gallus gallus (chicken). The record is from RNAcentral. Lineage: Eukaryota; Metazoa; Chordata; Aves; Galliformes; Phasianidae.